CACUCCUGCGGGAGGCAGCAGUGGGGAAUUUUGGACAAUGGGCGAAAGCCUGAUCCAGCCAUGCCGCGUGCAGGAUGAAGGCCUUCGGGUUGUAAACUGCUUUUGUACGGAACGAAACGGCCUUUUCUAAUAAAGAGGGCUAAUGACGGUACCGUAAGAAUAAGCACCGGCUAACUACGUGCCAGCAGCCGCGGUAAUACGUAGGGUGCAAGCGUUAAUCGGAAUUACUGGGCGUAAAGCGUGCGCAGGCGGUUAUGUAAGACAGUUGUGAAAUCCCCGGGCUCAACCUGGGAACUGCAUCUGUGACUGCAUAGCUAGAGUACGGUAGAGGGGGAUGGAAUUCCGCGUGUAGCAGUGAAAUGCGUAGAUAUGCGGAGGAACACCGAUGGCGAAGGCAAUCCCCUGGACCUGUACUGACGCUCAUGCACGAAAGCGUGGGGAGCAAACAGGAUUAGAUACCCCAGUAGUCCCAUGA
Molecule: ribosomal RNA, 475 nt
Filed under: uncultured organism
Description: partial 16S ribosomal RNA
Rfam family: Bacterial small subunit ribosomal RNA
Source: RNAcentral